CCUACGGGGGGCAGUAGUGGGGAAUAUUGCACAAUGGGGGAAACCCUGAUGCAGCGACGCCGCGUGAGUGAAGAAGUAUUUCGGUACGUAAAGCUCUAUCAGCAGGGAAGAAAAUGACGGUACCUGACUAAGAAGCCCCGGCUAACUACGUGCCAGCAGCCGCGGUAAUACGUAGGGGGCAAGCGUUAUCCGGAUUUACUGGGUGUAAAGGGAGCGUAGACGGCAGCGCAAGUCUGGAGUGAAAUCCCAUGGCUUAACCAUGGAACUGCUUUGGAAACUGUGCAGCUAGAGUGCAGGAGAGGUAAGCGGAAUUCCUAGUGUAGCGGUGAAAUGCGUAGAUAUUAGGAGGAACACCAGUGGCGAAGGCGGCUUACUGGACUGUAACUGACGUUGAGGCUCGAAAGCGUGGGGAGCAAACAGGAUUAGAUACCCGGGUAGUC
This 440-nucleotide ribosomal RNA is filed under the name uncultured bacterium. RNAcentral describes it as "partial 16S ribosomal RNA". It matches the Rfam family "Bacterial small subunit ribosomal RNA", at positions 338 to 795 of the family's 1533-position model. The record is from RNAcentral.